AAGUCAUAGAGGAACGCGCCACCGCAUCAUCUCUCCCACCUCCCCCUCCGCCAUUGACUGCCGUAACACAUACGAAAGCUAAAAUUUCAGUUGCGUCCGUGUGCCUCUGCGUGCGAGGAGUUUGCGUCUGCAGACAUCCUCCCUCAUUCCACGAGACAAACUUGCCUCACUAAACUCUCUCUUCUUGCGGCUGUCUACGUCGGUGUUUGUGUGUGUCAUCAUCGUUGUUCUUCUCGCUGCUGCUGCGGCUGCUGUUUGCAUAUUCCUGCGUGCUUGCUAUCCAACAGGUUAGCGCUGCACUCUUCCCUCCCCCUCUUCUCGUUCCCGAAUAGAGAAACUUAUUCAUCCUUGCCUCAUCCACCUCCCCUACACAAUGGUGAAGGAGACCGGCUAUUACAACGCCCUCGGCGUGAGCCCCGAUGCGAGCGAGGAUGAGAUUAAGCGCGCCUAUCGGAAGCUGGCACUCAAGUACCAUCCAGACAAGAACACGGAACCCGGCGCGCAGGAGAAGUUUAAGGAGGUGUCUGUCGCAUACGAGUGCCUGUCGGACCCCGAAAAGCGCAAGCGCUAUGACCAGUUCGGCAAGGACGCGGUGGAGAUGCAGGGCGGCGGCGUCGACCCAAGCGACAUCUUCGCGAGCUUCUUCGGGGGUGGCAGCCGCCCGCGCGGCGAGCCGAAGCCGAAGGACAUUGUGCACGAGCUGCCGGUUCCACUGGAGGCUUUCUACUGCGGCAAGACCAUCAAGCUCGCCAUCACCCGCGACCGCCUGUGCACGCAGUGCAGCGGCACCGGCUCCAAGGUCGCUGGCGUGAGUGCCACAUGCAAGGACUGCGGCGGCCGAGGUGUGCGGAUGAUGACUCGCCAGCUGCAGCCCGGGUUUAUUCAGCAGAUACAAACUGCGUGCCCGGUGUGCAAGGGCAAGGGCACGAACCUGCGAGAGGAGGACAAGUGCGUCAGCUGCCGUGGCCAGCAGAUCAUCAAGGACAAGAAGGUGUUCGAGGUGAUGGUGGAGAAGGGCAUGCACCGCGGCGACAGCGUCACCUUCAGCGGGGAGGGCGACCAGAUUCCUGGCGUCAAGCUCUCCGGCGACAUCAUCAUCAUCCUGGACCAGAAGCCGCACCAGCCUUUAUCCGAAAGGGCGACCAUCUCUUCCUGGAGCAAACCAUCUCCCUCGCCGAGGCGCUCACGGGUUUCUCGCUGAACAUUACCCAGCUCGACGGCCGCGAGCUCGCCAUCUCCUCCACCGCCGGCACCAUCAUCGACCCCGCCAAUAUGUACAGCGUGAGCCGCGAGGGUAUGCCGGUUGCCCACACCGGCGGCAUGGAGCGCGGCGACCUCAUCAUUCGCUUCAAAGUCGUCUUUCCAAAGACGCUGAGGCAGGGGUGUGUGCCAGAGCUGCGCAAGAUGCUGGGCUACCCGCAGCAACCCCCGUUCAAGGACGGCGCCGAGCAGUACACGUUGCAGGAGUCGCACAUCGACCUCGAGAAGGAGGCACGCCGUAACGCCUAUGACGACGAUGGCGACCAGCCGCGCGUGCAGACGGCCGGCUGCGCGCAGCAGUGAUGGUGGCAACUACGCGCCAAGGGGUGCGUGCGGCCCGCUGAUGUGGCAACAGGAGGAGUCGCGGCGCCAGACACGGCGGCGCCUGUCCCGAGAAAGAAUGGGAGAAGAAGUCGUUGGAAAAGAUGGAGAGGAUGGGAGGAGGGACGGCAGGUGAGCAAUGGAGAGAGAGCGAGACUCAGAGAGGGCUUGAGUGACUCACACAAACACCGACACACACACACACAGAGGGACACGUGCCAGCGUCACCUCCUGUUAUGCGUCACGGUCCAGGCUUGUGCAAGCGAUGGCUGUGGCGUGCGUCUUCUUGUGCGCGUGUGUGUGAGGGCGGUUGAGCGUGCGGGCGCGUGGUGGGCGCCGGGAUAUGUAUGUGUGUGUGUGUGCGUGAGGAGGAAAGGUGAGGAGACGCCUCCACGCGCUGCUGCUGCCACCGCGACAACUCCAAAGUGCUCUUAUGCUUCUCUGCUGCUCUGCUCUUUCGGGUGCCUCUCCCUCCUUCCGGUCGCCGUACAGGCGCACGCACCGUCUGUGCUCCUUUUCACUCUUACAGGCACACAUGCACACGGGGCUGGUGGACACGCCCUGUGCAUGCGUGUGCAUGCCUAUGUACGUGUGUGUGUGUGUGCGUGUACUCGCCUUAUUUCUCUCUCAUUUCGCUCUAUUUUUGUUUUUUUUUCUCGUUUUUGUGUGUUUUUUUUUUCGUCGUUCCCUUUCUCUCGUUAUGGGCCGUCGCUGAUGAACCGUUGUGAAUAGCUGCCUCACCCUCUUGGGGUGUGACCUCGUGUGCGUGCGCGCGUGCGUGUUAUGCGUGCGUGUGUGCGCACGCAAGAAUCAGAAACGGAAAACAAAGCAGAGGGCAAAAGGGGGGUGGAGGGGGCGCGCACACACACGCAUACCCCUCCCCCCCAACACACACACACACACACACACACACACACACACACGUCCAUGAGCAUAUGCGCAUCUAGAGACUCACGUUUUUUUCCCCGCACAUACUUGCGCAUCACCAUCAGCCUCAGCGCAUACGCAUCGUGUGCCAUGCCUGCUGCCUCCUGUGACGUUGGAGCGGCGUUGGGCGAUGUUGAGCGCAUGAGCACAGCCCGGCCUGCUUCACACACACACACACACACACACACACAUGCGUGAAGGCGGCACGGAGAGGAGAAACUUGUGAGGCGGCAUGGUGAGCGCGGGAAGUGUGGUGGUGGUGGGUGGGACCCAGAGAACAUUGAAGUGCCAGACGGUGCAACUGCCGCUCUUUGCUCUCUUUCGUCCCUCUACCUCCCUCACUGUGGGGUGUACUUGUGCGUGUGGCUGCUGAUGCGACUCGGUCCGUUGUGUGACACACGCGUUGCUCUCUCUCUGUCUUUUUCUGGUACAUGCACACGUGUAUACAUGUGUGCAUGCAUGCGUGUCUGCGGCAAAGGAAUGAGACGUGGACGAGAAAGGAAAAGAAGAAAGCGAAAGCUCCUUAACUUUUUAUAUAUAUCGUGUGUGCUCCCUCUCCGCCUGCCUCCGUCUAGCGUGUGCUGUGAUAAGCUUU
RNAcentral lists this unclassified non-coding RNA (3103 nucleotides) under Leishmania donovani. Its description in RNAcentral is "gene:LdHU3.27.3580(CDS-product:heat_shock_protein _DNAJ_putative)". Lineage: Eukaryota; Euglenozoa; Kinetoplastea; Trypanosomatida; Trypanosomatidae. The record is from RNAcentral.